Molecule: long non-coding RNA, 3916 nt
Organism: Scylla paramamosain (green mud crab)
Lineage: Eukaryota; Metazoa; Arthropoda; Malacostraca; Decapoda; Portunidae
Exons: 3
Source: RefSeq, a predicted model, not a curated record
AUAAUGUUGUCGUGCAAUGCUUGUCGCUAAAUUACGUGCUUUUUAAUGCCAUUUGUCUUGUUAUAACACACUGUAAUACUCUACAGCAGGCAAAAAAUAAAAUAAAACCAUUAGUAAUUUGAGCAAGUGGCACCUCCGAGGCUGUGUCAAUGCAACCGUCUUUCCUUCACCUCAGGAUAUGAAUUUAGUGUGUGUGUGUGUGUGUGUGUGUGUGUGUGUGUGUGUGCACAGUCCCUGCAACACACACUGACAGGAAUGGUACAUCACUGCAGUGCAACACGUCCCCGUGGGUGCCGUGAGGACACAGGCGUGCACCACACGGCUGCCUGGCGGCCCACUGGUGAGCCUCGUGUUGUCUGGCGUGGACGAGAGGCUGCUGGAGGAGGCGGCCCAGAUAGCACAGCUCCUGCAGCCCACACAGCGCCCAUACUGGAGCAUCAGGUUCCCCGGCAGCAGCAUGAAGGCAGAUGUGUGGCGGCGCUGCCUUCACAAGCUGGCCAAUGCCGGCGUCACGGUGGAUGGUGAUGUUGGUGGUGGUAUUGUAGCACCGGACACCAGCCCCAUCACGGAGGAGGAGCACAGGGAGCUGCGCACCCUUGCCAGCACCACGAUGUUAGGUGCCUUCACCAGAUGGCCUGAAGAGGACCUGUGGUGGGAGUUCGUGUAAUCCCCGUGACGGCCAGACUCAUCGGUGCUGGAAGUGCAUCCACUCACGAGGCAAACACCUGGGCUGCAUUUAUCCUACUGCAUUGUGUGUGUACAAGUCAAGUACAAGUGUGGCGCUCUCUCUCUCUCUCUCUCUCUCUCUCUCUCUCUCUCUCUCUCUCUCUCUCUCUCUCUCUCUCUCUCUCUCUCUCUCUCUCUCUCUCUCUCUCUUUCUCUGAUGAUUAAAAUUAUAUUCUUAAGUUUGUUAGAAUUCUUAAGUCUUGAUGUAGUUUCUCUCUCUCUCUCUGGAUUCAAAUUAUAUUUUUAAGUUUGUUAGAAUUCUUAAGUCUUGAUCUCUCUCUCUCUCUCUCUCUCUGUCUGUCUGUCUGUCUGUCUGUCUGUCUGUCUGUCUCUCUGUCUCUCUCUCUCUCUCUCUCUCUCUCUCUCUCUCUCUCUCUCUCUCUCUCUCUCUCUCUCUCUCUCAUGAUUGAAAUUAUAUUCUUAAGUUUGUUAGAAUUCUUAAGUCUUGAUUUAGUUUCUCUCUUUCUCUCUCUCUCUCUCUCUCUCUCUCUCUUACCAUUAAUACCGAUAAAACAUACUUUAUGUUGUUUUCAUUAAAAAAAUAUCACCAUCUACCUCCACUCCAGAUCAAUAAUAAUAAUAUCUCAAGAUCCUCACACAUUAAAUUCCUUGGUGUAACCUAUGACGAUUCCAUGACCUUUAAACUUCACAUUGAAAAUCUCACCCUAGGAAUAUCCUGACAUAUUGCCUUACUCCAUCAGAGUAAAGACUUCAUGCCUCCAUACGUACUGAAGUGUAUUUAUUAUGCUCACAUCUACCCACUACUUGCCUAUUGCAAUCCAAUAUGGUGCACCACUUAUCCUACCUAUCUGAUACCACUUCAACUCCAACUUUAAAAAAUUGUUAGAAUAAUCACAAAUAGCACGUACUUAGAACAUACACGACUCCUAUUUAAACAAACUCAGUUGCUAAGACUAGAGGACAAAACAAAAAUGGCUAUAUCCAUUCAAAUGUAUAAAAAAAUGUAUUCUAUGCAAAACGAUGCCCCCAUCCAUAAUCAUGAUACACGUCACUGUGGCCAACUACGUCCUCCUCCCCAUCGCAUCUCAAAGUACCGUCAAUCUACAUUAUACUUAGGACCUGUUUACUGGAACGAUAUCCCUCCUAACAUUAGAAAUUCACCAUCUGUAGCUACCUUCAAAAACAAACUAAAACAACACAUAAUAAGUAACUACUAAUAAAUACUAAUUAAUGUUGACUCCCAUCACUGUACCCAACUCCUUGUAUGUGGCCAUGUCUAUAAAUUAUAACUUAUUAUAUUUAUAUAUCAUUAUUGUAUACGCACUAUGGCAUCAUGUAUUAAAUUCAUAAUAAUUAUCUAAAUUAUUUUUUCAUUAUAUUAAAUUUUGUACUCUAUUACUUGUUCCAUUCUUUAUGCCAAUAGAUCAAUAUCUAUAUGCAGACCCCAAUGUAUGUAUUACUUUUUUUUUUAUAUAUAUAUAUGUUACUUUUCUUUAAUUUCUUUUAUUAUUGUUUACAUACACAGGUGUAUGAUCGUUUAUGCAGAUGUAUGUAUCACUAAAUUUUCUCACUGCUGUAUAAGAAAAUGUUGUUGAUAUCUAUUUAAUCUUAUAAAUACCCUUAGAAUCCUAUGCAACAUUUAAAAUUAUUCUGUACAACAUUUAAGUACUUACUGUGUAUUGUACCUUAUAUUAAGUCCAGUUUUGUUAGCUUAGGUUUAGUUAUAUUAUAGUUUUAGUUUUGCCUGAAAAGCUUACGCUUAAAAAAAGGCUAGCCAUAAUAAAAAAAUUUAUGGAAUAUAAAUAUACAAUGUAUGUAAUGGCUAUAAAUAAAUGUUCAAUGUUCAAAUGUUCUCUCUCUCUGCUGAUUCAAACUAUAUUCCUAAGUUUGUUAGAAUUCUUAAGUCUUGAUUCUCUCUCUCUCUCUCUCUCUCUCUCUCUCUCUCUCUCUCUCUCUCUCUCUCUCUCUCUCUCUGAUGAUUCAAAUUAUAUUCUUAAGUUUGUUAGAAUUCUUAAGUCUUGAUGUAGUUUCUCUCUCUCUCUCUCUCUCUCUCUCUCUCUCUCUCUCUCUCUCUCUCUCUCUCUCUCUCUCUCUCUCUCUCUCUCUCUCUCUCUCUCUCUCACUCUCUCCCUCUCUCUGUGUGUGUGUGUGUGUGUGUGUGUGUGUGUGUCCGUGGUGGUGUUUGGGUGAAGUUGUGUUGGUAAGGUGGUGGCGAGUGUGAGUGUGAAGUGUCGGUGUGCAGUGUGUGUGAGAGCCAAGUGUCAGUUAGGAUCACGUUAGUACAAGGUGGGCCCAAGCAAAGUUGUGGUGCAGUUUGCAAUGAUUGUUGAUGGUGCACGUGCAGUUUUCCUCGUGGCAAAGUUCACGCCAGAAGUGAGAGAGUCAAGUCACCACAAGACAAGGCUCAGUCUUCUGUCGUGAAGUCUGCGGUGACUGCUGCUAUCACUUCCCACCUGCAGUAUAUACCUUUUAGCAAAGUUUACUUACAAGUUGUAAGUCACCACAAACCCGGGACUCAACACUCUAUUCUUUAGUGCCUGAUGAUUCUUAAUUGUUCAUCUGCAGUUUGUGUUGCAGCAACGGUUGCGCCAAAACUAUGUUAGUGCGCGCCGAGGAUGCAAGAUGAUUGAUUGUCAGUGUUGCGUGCGGUGCGUGUGUUUAGGCCAAGUGUAAGUGACGGCUGAGUUAGUGCAAGAUAAGGCUGAGUAGUGUUCUGUUCUGAAGUGUGAGGCGGUUCUUGGGGUCACUUCCCACCUGCAGUAUGUCUUGUGGCAAAGUUGAAGCUGAGAAUUAAGUUAGUACAAGCGGAGGAUUCAAGUGAUUUGGUUCACCUCACGGUGAUUCUUAAUGUUUGUUGCACCUGCUGUUUGUCUUUAGGCUAAGUUAAGUUACAACUAAGCUGAGUUACAACCACAAGCUGAGGGUGAAGGCUGCUGGCUGCUGCUGCUGCAUGCAGUCUUCACCUCAACUUGGUCAGGUUGAUGCUUUCUUCAUUUCUGUGUUGAGUUUCAAGUUUACUACAAGUGGUGGCAGGUUUGUCACGUUCUCGUAAGUGGAUGCACGGGUGUGAGUGUGGCGGCGGUGGUGGUGGUGGUGGUGGUGAGAGCCGUGCAUUCCCCAGGGAAGGGGGAACGCCCGCCACGUGCAAGUGUGGCGAGGAGCUUCACCACAAACACUGUAUUCUCUGUACCACACAAGGCUGAUUCCCUAAUUAAAAGCUGUAGUACAA